This 3687-nucleotide long non-coding RNA is filed under the name Capra hircus (goat). RNAcentral's name for it is "lncRNA (ENSCHIG00010003551.1)". Lineage: Eukaryota; Metazoa; Chordata; Mammalia; Artiodactyla; Bovidae. The record is from RNAcentral.
AUGCGUGAGCGACGAGAAGCGUUCAGGAGCAAACCAGCAGCAGCCACGAGGCCCGGGAGGGCGCCCCCUCACCCCCAGGCUUGGGGAGCCACCAGGGACCCGGAGGACGCCUGCCCACAGAAGCCUCUGCUCCACCAGAGUCCCAUUCGUCUCCUCUGGCCAUGCCCGGGGCGCCCACUCCCUCUCUCAGCCUGCUGCCCAGCAGCCCCCAGCGCCCUACGGAGGUGGGGGGACCCUGUGCCCUCCGCCGACCGCCAGGGUAUCAUAGCAGCUCUGGGGCCCCAGCAGGUUAGCGGCAGCCCAGCUGUCCUGGGCCCAGCGCCCCCUGACCCCACCCUGUCCUGCCAGCGGGAGAGGGUCUCGCUGGGGGCACGGCGGGCAGAGACAGUCCUGUGGAUGGAGGUGAACUUAACUGUUCAGUCCACCUGGGUACUUGCCUUGGGGGUCCGGAAAGAUGCCCACCAGACACAAAUCCCAUUACCCCCCAGCAGCUGCAGGGGGAGCCCCAGCCUGCGGGGUCCGGGGUGGAGCCCGCCAGGCCCGCAGCCCUAACAGCUGGCUCCCGUGGCUUCUGAGCAACCCUGGCUGCCAGCCCCUCACCGGCCAGAAACAGGAAGUGGGGGGCAGGGAGCUGCCCUCCGGGACUCGGGGUCACUCCCCGAGGAGAUGGAAACGUGGGAGAGCACACGCCCCCUUCUGAGACGACUCUAAAUGGUCCUUUUCUUCUCCACCCGCACUUGGUGUCAGCAGAGGGCAAAUCCAGCCUGUCACACACCCACUCGACGGGGAUGAUGCUGUUUCUCUUUAUGAGCAAACCACUCACGCCUUCCUCCCUUCACACAUCUGUGCCCACACGUCUGGCAGACCAGGACCCCAGAGCAGAGGAUGGCGGUCUUGGCCAGAGCCACAGCAGCCACCUGUGGGCUCAUGAGGCCCUCCCCAGUGCAACCUGGCCCUAGAUCCCGGAGACCCGGGCUGUGCGGGCGUUCUCCCAGGGGGCCGCUCAGUCUGCACGGCAGGCCCAGGGCCAUGAGUGGGGGCCGGGCACCAGCAGCUGUGUCUCGGGAGCAGUGGACUCCCAGCAGCUGGCACUGGGGUGUUAUGACCCUAAACAGGGCCCCUUCCCUCACCCAGUAAGGUGUCGGCAUCUGAACUCAGAGAGCUCGCCCCUGGGUGGGGCAGCAAGGAGGGAGGCUCUGCAGGCCAGAGAAUGGGGAGGGAAGAGAGGAAGGAACAUGGGGGUGCAGGUGGCACCUCCUCUCCAGGCCCCAAGGCCUGUGACCUGCGCCUUCAGCAGAGCCACUCGGAGCCACGGCCACCUAGCAGUCAGCUGCCCCUGCGCCUGGCCUCCAGCUCCUGGUCACAAGGCUCCUGGCAGGUGCUGGACCCAUCCGGAGCCAGGCGGACAGUCCCCUGCCUCCCCGUGGACACCAGGCCCUCCACAGCGUCCCCUGGCCCCAAGGACAGGCCCUGCACUGGGUCUCCACAGCAGCUCCCAGCCUGCGUGGGCACGGCCAGGCCCCGCCCUCAGUCCCUACGAGGAGACAUGAAACCCGGGAGAGCACGGCAUCUGCAACCACACGGCCGACGAGGCCNNNNNNNNNNNNNNNNNNNNNNNNNNNNNNNNNNNNNNNGUGGGGCCCGGCCUUGAACCCCGGUCCGCUGCUCUCACGCCGGGGCGGAACCAGGGAGGCCGCUGGUGGUGGUGAUGAGACAAAGCAUGGGCUUUCCCUCCCACCGCUUUCUGUCACCUUCAAUCAAUGACCUGGUGAUGGAGAGCCAGAAAGACGGCCCCCGAGGGGUGGGGGGGGAGGCGGGGUGUGCCCCGGGGGACCCUGGUCCUCAGCCCACACCGCACCCUGGCCGCCCCACCACCUCCCCAGGCAGCCCCCCAGCGUGGGGCGGAGCAACAGGGGCAUAGGCAGAGCCCCGCGCUCCCGGGAGGGGGGCCCAGCGCCCACACCCAGCUGCCCUCGCAGCUAUCCUCCAGCAGGGCCGAGGCCCUCGCUUGCCCGGCUCGCCUCCACGUCUUGGCAAUGAGACGUUCGAGCUGCCUGGGAACAGUUCUUCACUAGUGGAAGGACCCUGGCUCUGAAGGGGAAAGAACAGAGGACCUUAGGAGCGGUGGUGAGGGCUCCUCCAAGCGAUGGAGCCAGGACACACCUGGGAGGGGCCGGGCAGGGGCUGUGCCCACCACCACCUCGACGCCGGCCACGUGAGAGCGGCCCCCUAGGCUCUGGCGCACUGAUCCCGCCCUGAGGAAUCGCAAGGUCUGGCCGACUUUACAGGUGACAGACCCCAGUAACUACAGCCAGGGUGGGUGACCCCACCAAACCUCAGAUCAGGUUUAGCACGCACCGCCCCCUCCCCCCGCCUGAUCCGGAAGCAAAGAUGGAGGGGGGUCCUGGAGUGGCCGCCCGAGGGCUGCACCCGAGUCACCCGCUGGACACAGCAGGUGCACGCGGAGGGCUGGAGGCCCGGAGGCCCUCACACGGCGGGGCCUCACCCCCAUCUCCACACAAUGGCGAGGGGCUAGAGCGUCCGCUCUAGGGCUGCGGCGCCCACCACUCUGGGAGCCCCAGGGGAGGGAUGNNNNNNNNNNNNNNNNNNNNNNNNNNNNNNNNNNNNNNNNNNNNNNNNNNNNNNNNNNNNNNNNNNNNNNNNNNNNNNNNNNNNNNNNNNNNNNNNNNNCGCUCUAGGGCUGCGGCGCCCACCACUCUGGGAGCCCCAGGGGAGGGAUGCGGCCCUCCUUCCUCCAACAGUGGGCGGGCUUGCUCCUGUGAGGUGAACAGGGCCCCAGGUCCAAGGCCCAGGCGUCUCCCCGGCUCCCGGCGGCGGUCUCGGGGUCCUCCCAAGGGUGCUGCUUCGUGAGCUCGCACUCCAUUUCUGCCCGUCAGGCGCCUGGGCUCGGGGACUGGCGGCCUCUGGGCUCUGUGCUCACAGAGCCGGGGGGCACGAGCGCGAAGCGAGGGAGGGCAGCCGCUGGGAAGAAACGAAGCAGCCCUCCGGGAGCCAGUGCCCAGCUUCUGAUCUCCCUUCCCGCGGUCCCCGUCCCCUCUCCCUCUCCCUGCGGCCGACAGCACUGCGAAACCCCCGCCCGCGGUCCCGNNNNNNNNNNNNNNNNNNNNNNNNNNNNNNNNNNNNCCCCCAUACACCUGACCUGCUCCUGGCCCGACCCCACCCCUUCUCCAAGAGGUCACCUGCCACCACCCGGCGGCCCCAGCCCUCGGACAAGCCUCUGCCCCGCUCUCGCUUCUCGAGCACCCAGAGCAUCACGUGGAGGGCACAAAAGCCGGCCGACGAUCUCCGGCAACCAAGCAGCGGGUUGCCUCUGAGCGUGAAGGCGAGCGGUUGCGGGCUGCUCUCUUGGCUCGUUUCCCGCGUACAGCCCCCCACCCUCCUCCACAAAAAAAUCAAGACGGAGCUGGAGCCGCGGGCGAGGAGGUUGAAACGGGCGCGAGGGUGAGGGGCCGGUGAAGGGGUGAGGGCCAGGUGCGGGCGGCGGACACAGGGGGCCGAGCAGGCUGCGGGACCCUGCGCGCGAGGCACGCUGCCAGCAGGGCGCAGGCCGGCAGGGCCGGCGCGGAGUCGAGGGAAGCUGGGAGGGAGGCCGGCGGGGGGCGGGGAGGCCCCUGAUAGGCGCGCGGGCGGCGUGACGUCACGUCCGGCGGGGGAAGCCCUGCCUCA